UGCUUCUCUGAUGUUAGCGGCGGACGGGUGAGUAACACGUGGAUAACCUACCUAUAAGACUGGGAUAACUUCGGGAAACCGGAGCUAAUACCGGAUAAUAUUUUGAACCGCAUGGUUCACAAGUGAAAGACGGUCUUGCUGUCACUUAUAGAUGGAUCCGCGCUGCAUUAGCUAGUUGGUAAGGUAACGGCUUACCAAUGCAACGAUGCAUAGCCGACCUGAGAGGGUGAUCGGCCACACUGGAACUGAGACACGGUCCAGACUCCUACGGGAGGCAGCAGUAGGGAAUCUUCCGCAAUGGGCGAAAGCCUGACGGGAGCAACGCCGCGUGAGUGAUGAAGGUCUUCGGAUCGUAAAACUCUGUUAUUAGGGAAAGAACAUAUGUGUAAGUAACUGUGCACAUCUUGACGGUACCUAAUCAGAAAGCCACGGCUAACUACGUGCCAGCAGCCGCGGUAAUACGUAGGUGGCAAGCGUUAUCCGGAAUUAUUGGGCGUAAAGCGCGCGUAGGCGGUUUUUUAAGUCUGAUGUGAAAGCCCACGGCUCAACCGUGGAGGGUCAUUGGAAACUGGAAAACUUGAGUGCAGAAGAGGAAAGUGGAAUUCCAUGUGUAGCGGUGAAAUGCGCAGAGAUAUGGAGGAACACCAGUGGCGAAGGCGACUUUCUGGUCUGUAACUGACGCUGAUGUGCGAAAGCGUGGGGAUCAAACAGGAUUAGAUACCCUGGUAGUCCACGCCGUAAACGAUGAGUGCU
RNAcentral lists this ribosomal RNA (753 nucleotides) under uncultured Staphylococcus sp. Its description in RNAcentral is "bacterial SSU rRNA". It matches the Rfam family "Bacterial small subunit ribosomal RNA", at positions 79 to 817 of the family's 1533-position model. The record is from RNAcentral. Lineage: Bacteria; Bacillati; Bacillota; Bacilli; Caryophanales; Staphylococcaceae.